This 520-nucleotide ribosomal RNA is filed under the name uncultured archaeon. Its description in RNAcentral is "bacterial SSU rRNA". It matches the Rfam family "Archaeal small subunit ribosomal RNA", at positions 351 to 875 of the family's 1478-position model. The record is from RNAcentral.
CAAAAGGCCAAAGGUGGGACGGGGCUCCCCCAAGGGCCCCCCCUGAGGGGGGCUUUCCUUUGGUAUAAUUCCCCUUUGGAAUAGGGAGAGGGCAAGACUGGUGUCAGCCGCCGCGGUAAUACCAGCUCUCCGAGUGGUAGGGAUGAUUAUUGGGCUUAAAGCGUCCGUAGCCGGCUUAGCAAGUUUCCUGUUAAACUCAGCGACUCAAUCGUUGAAUCGCGGGAAAUACUACUAGGCUAGGAGGCGGGAGAGGUCGACGGUACUUCUGGGGUAGGGGUGAAAUCCUAUAAUCCCGGGAGGACCACCAGUGGCGAAGGCUGUCGACUAGAACGCGCUCGACGGUGAGGGACGAAAGCUGGGGGAGCGAACCGGAUUAGAUACCCGGGUAGUCCCAGCCGUAAACGAUGCGAGCUAGGUGUUGGGAUGGCUACGUGCCAUUUCAGUGCCGCAGGGAAGCCAUUAAGCUCGCCGCCUGGGGAGUACGGCCGCAAGGCUGAAACUUAAAGGAAUUGACGGGGGA